AAAACUAUUAUUUCAAGGAUCAUUUCUAUAAUUCAUUAUUAUUAGAGAAGUUUCUCUGACCAUGCAGAGCACCUGAAACCACGAGAAGGAGCCAGAGCUUUCUCUCCUGAGCAGGAAGCUGGUUCUAGGAACUGCACCCUACCACUGAUGAUGGUUCUUCUCAUCCAUUGGAAGAGUAAGAGGGAGAAGAUACAGUAUGAGUGG
RNAcentral lists this small nucleolar RNA (204 nucleotides) under Sorex araneus (European shrew). RNAcentral's name for it is "Small nucleolar RNA U3 (ENSSARG00000015571.1)". It matches the Rfam family "Small nucleolar RNA U3". Rfam says of the family: Small nucleolar RNAs (snoRNAs) are involved in the processing and modification of rRNA in the nucleolus. There are two main classes of snoRNAs: the box C/D class, and the box H/ACA class. Lineage: Eukaryota; Metazoa; Chordata; Mammalia; Eulipotyphla; Soricidae. The record is from RNAcentral.